RNAcentral lists this ribosomal RNA (413 nucleotides) under bacterium enrichment culture clone ALO1_GLFRUDD03F0JBJ. RNAcentral describes it as "bacterial SSU rRNA". It matches the Rfam family "Bacterial small subunit ribosomal RNA", at positions 9 to 424 of the family's 1533-position model. The record is from RNAcentral.
GAGUUUGAUCUUGGCUCAGAUUGAACGCUGGCGGCAUGCCUUACACAUGCAAGUCGAACGGCAGCACGGGAGCUUGCUCCUGGUGGCGAGUGGCGAACGGGUGAGUAAUGCAUCGGAACGUAUCCUGGAGUGGGGGAUAACGUAGCGAAAGUUACGCUAAUACCGCAUAUUCUGUGAGCAGGAAAGCGGGGGACCUUCGGGCCUCGCGCUCUUGGAGCGGCCGAUGUCGGAUUAGCUAGUUGGUGAGGUAAAGGCUCACCAAGGCGACGAUCCGUAGCAGGUCUGAGAGGAUGAUCUGCCACACUGGAACUGAGACACGGUCCAGACUCCUACGGGAGGCAGCAGUGGGGAAUUUUGGACAAUGGGGGCAACCCUGAUCCAGCCAUGCCGCGUGAGUGAAGAAGGCCCUGGUU